GGCGGAGAGAGCUGCUCAGAGCCCUAAGAAGUUACACAGUAUGUUCCAGAUCAAGCUAGAUGGUAUCUGUGCAUUUUAAACUUCCUGUUGAAACACUGAAUAAAUGCUUUGCUUCUUGUUAAGGAAAUUUCAAGACUGAGCAGGCAGAAUAUCUAGACAUGGAGGAAGCUAAGGUAAGAAUGGGAGGACUUCAGGAACCUGCCACCACACACUGGCUACUGUAGUUGAGAAGAAACAACAAGCCUCACCAACCAACACCUUCAUACAAGAAGAUUUAAAACUACAAGGAAUAAGUUAUCAGGGUCAGACAGUCUAGGACAGACAGCUCUCAAGUCGUUCCCUGGGAUGCAAUUACAUCUUCUUUAACAACCUUUAAAUCCAGGAAAAGCACCAGUGAAAUAUUUCACAUGAGAGAAAUUUGUAUUCAUAUACAACAUAAAAGUUGUACCAAAGGAAUGAUCAUUUGAGCUUAUGUGUGAACCUUCCCCCUUACACUCAAACCUAAAAAUGACCCCAGGACAACAUGCUGAUAAAUAGAACAUA
Molecule: non-coding RNA, 543 nt
Organism: Phascolarctos cinereus (koala)
Lineage: Eukaryota; Metazoa; Chordata; Mammalia; Diprotodontia; Phascolarctidae
Source: RefSeq, a predicted model, not a curated record